GAAAUGCGAUAACUAGUGUGAAUUGCAGAAUUCCGUGAAUCAUCGAGUCUUUGAACGCACAUUGCGCCCCCUGGUAUUCCGGGGGGCAUGCCUGUCCGAGCGUCAUUGCUGCCCAUCAAGCACGGCUUGUGUGUUGGGUCGUCGUCCCCUCUCCGGGGGGGACGGGCCCCAAAGGCAGCGGCGGCACCGCGUCCGAUCCUCGAGCGUAUGGGGCUUUGUCACCCGCUCUGUAGGCCCGGCCGGCGCUUGCCGAACGCAAAUCAAUCUUUUUCCAGGUUGACCUCGGAUCAGGUAGGGAUACCCGCUGAACUUAA
This 314-nucleotide unclassified non-coding RNA is filed under the name uncultured Aspergillus. Its description in RNAcentral is "sequence contains ITS1". The stretch from base 1 to 105 matches the Rfam family "5.8S ribosomal RNA", at positions 50 to 154 of the family's 154-position model. RNAcentral also lists the same sequence under 2 other names. The record is from RNAcentral. Lineage: Eukaryota; Fungi; Ascomycota; Eurotiomycetes; Eurotiales; Aspergillaceae.